This 309-nucleotide ribosomal RNA is filed under the name uncultured eukaryote. Its description in RNAcentral is "partial 18S ribosomal RNA". It matches the Rfam family "Eukaryotic small subunit ribosomal RNA", at positions 1470 to 1796 of the family's 1831-position model. The record is from RNAcentral.
CCCUUAGAUGUUCUGGGCGGCCCGCGCACUACAAUGGCGUGUGCAGCGAGUGCCGAAGUAGAGUUUUCCGAGGUAUUCUUGCAAUGCUCGUUUUGAUGGGGAUAGACCCUUGCAACUGUUGGUUUUGAACGAGGAAUUCCUUGUAAGCAUGGUUUAUCAUCCGACGCUGAAUGCGUCCCUGCCCUUUGUACACACCGCCCGUCGCUCCUACCGAUGAGUCGUCCGGUGAAGUUCGUAGACCUCGUGAUCGCGGAUCACUGGGGGAAGCAAAAUGAACCUCGCGGCUUAGAGGAAGGAGAAGUCGUAACA